AACGAACGCUGGCGGCAGGCCUAACACAUGCAAGUCGAGCGGACCCUUCGGGGUUAGCGGCGGUCGGGUGAGUAACGCGUGGGAACGUGCCCUUUGCUUCCGAAUAGCCCUUGGUAACUGGGAGUAAUACCGGAUACGCCCUUUUGGGGAAAGAUUUAUCGGUGAAGGAUCGGCCCGCGUUGGAUUAGGUUGGUGGUGGGGUAAUGGCCUACCAAGCCUACGAUCCAUAGCUGGUUUGAGAGGAUGAUCAGCCACACUGGGACUGAGACACGGCCCAGACUCAUACGGGAGGGAGCAGAGGGGAAUCUUAGAAAAGGGGGGAAGCCCUGAUAGAGCCAUGCCGCGUGAGCGAUGAAGGCCGUAGGGGUGUAAAGCUCUUUCACCGGGGAAGAUAAUGACGGUACCCGGAGAAGAAGCCCCGGCUAACUCCGUG
This 433-nucleotide ribosomal RNA is filed under the name uncultured bacterium. Its description in RNAcentral is "partial 16S ribosomal RNA". It matches the Rfam family "Bacterial small subunit ribosomal RNA", at positions 29 to 507 of the family's 1533-position model. The record is from RNAcentral.